Dermochelys coriacea (leatherback sea turtle) is the source of this 464-nucleotide long non-coding RNA. RefSeq lists it as uncharacterized. The record is from RefSeq and is a predicted model, not a curated record. Lineage: Eukaryota; Metazoa; Chordata; Testudines; Dermochelyidae. The transcript is spliced from 3 exons.
GUGUGGAGCUGACACACAAUUUAAGUUCUGGCCGAGCUCGGUCAUGAGCCAUGGGGGCGGGGGGGGGAGGUCCUCGAACUUGUCUGCAAGGGUGACCGGCCCUAGUGUGAGACAUCACCCCACAAUCCGAUUGGCAGAGUCCCAGAGCAGUUGAUUAGGAGCUGGACGAGGAAGCCACCUGCUUGGUUUUUUUCCUGGCAUCCUGACCUGGCAUCUCCCAUGUGGUUCCAGGCCUCCACCCGCCUCCGGUAAAAGUCCCUCAAGGCGUUGGCAAAUGCUGUGAGGACAGGAACCGUGGGGCGUUCAGAGAUCGAUCCGGGAGACUCCAAGGCAAAAGGCAUCUUCCUUCACAGCCAGGGUCUUCUACUCAACUGCGUUGAUUCAGAUGCAUCCCAAAGUUGUAGUCCUUCCCAGCAGGGAGUGAGUUAAUUCUUUCUGCCCAGUGGGGAGUGAUCCCUAAUGGG